UACGUAGGGUGCGAGCGUUGUCCGGAAUUAUUGGGCGUAAAGAGCUCGUAGGCGGUCUGUCGCGUCGGCUGUGAAAACCCGGGGCUCAACCCCGGGCCUGCAGUCGAUACGGGCAGACUAGAGUGCGGUAGGGGAGACUGGAAUUCCUGGUGUAGCGGUGAAAUGCGCAGAUAUCAGGAGGAACACCGGUGGCGAAGGCGGGUCUCUGGGCCGUUACUGACGCUGAGGAGCGAAAGCGUGGGGAGCGAACAGG
Molecule: ribosomal RNA, 253 nt
Filed under: uncultured bacterium
Lineage: Bacteria
Description: partial 16S ribosomal RNA
Rfam family: Bacterial small subunit ribosomal RNA
Source: RNAcentral